Ipomoea nil (Japanese morning glory) is the source of this 187-nucleotide long non-coding RNA. RefSeq lists it as uncharacterized. Lineage: Eukaryota; Viridiplantae; Streptophyta; Magnoliopsida; Solanales; Convolvulaceae. The record is from RefSeq and is a predicted model, not a curated record. The transcript has 3 exons.
GCUGGUGGUUUAAUUUUGUAUUGCAGGCCCAACUAUCCUCUUUUUUCAGGAAAAUGCUGGAAAUAUUGCCCAUCGUCUUGAAAUGGUCCGCAUAUUGUUACAACGAUUGAACUGCAAUGUUUUUAUGCUUUCAUACCGAGGAUAUGGUGCUAGUGAUGGAUACCCUUCUCAACAUGGAAUAACAUAG